CCCUUAGAUGUUCUGAACCGCACGCGUGUUACAAUGAUGUGUUCAACGAGCAUAUAACCUUGGCCGAGAGGCCUGGGCAAUCUUUUUAAUGCACAUCGUGUUAGGGAUAGAUUAUUGCAAUUAUUAAUCUUGAACGAGGAAUUCCUAGUAAACGCAGAUCAUCAAUCUGCAUUGAUUACGUCCCUGCCCUUUGUACACACCGCCCGUCGCUACUACCGAUUGGAUGGUGUAAUGAGAUCUUCGGAUUGGAGCCGUCGUGGCCGGCAACGGUCGUGUCGGAGGCCGAGAAGCUGCUCUAAUUUCAUCAUCUAGAGGAAGUAAAAGUCGUAACA
RNAcentral lists this ribosomal RNA (332 nucleotides) under uncultured eukaryote. RNAcentral describes it as "partial 18S ribosomal RNA". It matches the Rfam family "Eukaryotic small subunit ribosomal RNA", at positions 1470 to 1796 of the family's 1831-position model. The record is from RNAcentral.